GAUGAACGCUGGCGGCGUGCCUAAUACAUGCAAGUCGAGCGAACGGACGAGAAGCUUGCUUCUCUGAUGUUAGCGGCGGACGGGUGAGUAACACGUGGAUAACCUACCUAUAAGACUGGGAUAACUUCGGGAAACCGGAGCUAAUACCGGAUAAUAUUUUGAACCGCAUGGUUCAAAAGUAAAAGACGGUCUUGCUGUCACUUAUAGAUGGAUCCGCGCUGCAUUAGCUAGUUGGUAAGGUAACGGCUUACCAAGGCAACGAUGCAUAGCCGACCUGAGAGGGUGAUCGGCCACACUGGAACUGAGACACGGUCCAGACUCCUACGGGAGGCAGCAGUAGGGAAUCUUCCGCAAUGGGCGAAAGCCUGACGGAGCAACGCCGCGUGAGUGAUGAAGGUCUUCGGAUCGUAAAACUCUGUUAUUAGGGAAGAAUAUAUGUGUAAGUAACUGUGCACAUCUUGACGGUACCUAAUCAGAAAGCCACGGCUAACUACGUGCCAGCAGCCGCGGUAAUACGUAGGUGGCAAGCGUUAUCCGGAAUUAUUGGGCGUAAGCGCGCGUAGGCGGUUUUUUAAGUCUGAUGUGAAAGCCCACGGCUCAACCGUGGAGGGUCAUUGGAAACUGGAAAACUUGAGUGCAGAAGAGGAAAGUGGAAUUCCAUGUGUAGCGGUGAAAUGCGCAGAGAUAUGGAGGAACACCAGUGGCGAAGGCGACUUUCUGGUCUGUAACUGACGCUGAUGUGCGGAAGCGUGGGGAUCAAACAGGAUUAGAUACCCUGGUAGUCCACGCCGUAAACGAUGAGUGCUAAGUGUUAGGGGGUUUCCGCCCCUUAGUGCUGCAGCUAACGCAUUAAGCACUCCGCCUGGGGAGUACGACCGCAAGGUUGAAACUCAAAGGAAUUGACGGGGACCCGCACAAGCGGUGGAGCAUGUGGUUUAAUUCGAAGCAACGCGAAGAACCUUACCAAAUCUUGACAUCCUUUGACAACUCUAGAGAUAGAGCCUUCCCCUUCGGGGGACAAAGUGACAGGUGGUGCAUGGUUGUCGUCAGCUCGUGUCGUGAGAUGUUGGGUUAAGUCCCGCAACGAGCGCAACCCUUAAGCUUAGUUGCCAUCAUUAAGUUGGGCACUCUAAGUUGACUGCCGGUGACAAACCGGAGGAAGGUGGGGAUGACGUCAAAUCAUCAUGCCCCUUAUGAUUUGGGCUACACACGUGCUACAAUGGACAAUACAAAGGGCAGCGAAACCGCGAGGUCAAGCAAAUCCCAUAAAGUUGUUCUCAGUUCGGAUUGUAGUCUGCAACUCGACUACAUGAAGCUGGAAUCGCUAGUAAUCGUAGAUCAGCAUGCUACGGUGAAUACGUUCCCGGGUCU
RNAcentral lists this ribosomal RNA (1371 nucleotides) under uncultured bacterium. RNAcentral's name for it is "bacterial SSU rRNA". It matches the Rfam family "Bacterial small subunit ribosomal RNA", at positions 28 to 1381 of the family's 1533-position model. The record is from RNAcentral.